RNAcentral lists this transfer RNA (72 nucleotides) under Peptoniphilus sp. BV3C26. RNAcentral's name for it is "Clostridiales bacterium BV3C26 tRNA". It matches the Rfam family "tRNA". Rfam says of the family: Transfer RNA (tRNA) molecules are approximately 80 nucleotides in length. Their secondary structure includes four short double-helical elements and three loops (D, anti-codon, and T loops). The record is from Rfam by way of RNAcentral. Lineage: Bacteria; Bacillati; Bacillota; Tissierellia; Tissierellales; Peptoniphilaceae.
GGGAAUAUAGCUCAUUUAGGUAGAGCAAUCAACUUUUAUUGAUGAACACAGGUUCAAAUCCUGUUAUCCCCG